GGAGGAGUGGCCGAGUGGUCGAAGGCAGCGGUUUUGAAAACCGCCGUAUCGCAAGGUACCGGGGGUUCGAAUCCCUCCUCCUCCG
This 85-nucleotide transfer RNA is filed under the name Deltaproteobacteria bacterium. Its description in RNAcentral is "tRNA-Ser". It matches the Rfam family "tRNA". From Rfam's summary of the family: Transfer RNA (tRNA) molecules are approximately 80 nucleotides in length. Their secondary structure includes four short double-helical elements and three loops (D, anti-codon, and T loops). The record is from RNAcentral. RNAcentral also lists the same sequence under 3 other names. Lineage: Bacteria; Pseudomonadati; Myxococcota; Myxococcia.